Molecule: long non-coding RNA, 8381 nt
Organism: Pan troglodytes (chimpanzee)
Lineage: Eukaryota; Metazoa; Chordata; Mammalia; Primates; Hominidae
Exons: 4
Source: RefSeq, a predicted model, not a curated record
AAGAGGGCCCACCCUCCAUUACACCUGUGCUCCACCGUGGCCCCCAGCCAAGUUUAAUCUCCCAUUCGGCACUUACUUCUGGAAGCUUCUUUCCCUUUCCUUCCCACCACUCAUUGGCCUUUCACCCCCUAGUUUUUUGUCUGUGUAUGGGACUGUCUUCCCCCACUCCCCCUUGACUGAAGUUCCUUGAGAGCAGCAGCCCUCUUUUUAUCAGGGAAGAGAUUUGAAGCUCAGGACAUUCUUAUCCAAGUAGAUGCUAGCCACCUGGGUAGUCAAGACAGGGCCCUGCACAGUUAAUGUGAAUCUUGUCAUAAUGCCAGGGUUAUUGUUUUGCAAGGAGCUGGUCAUAGAACACUAGAUUGCAUUGUCACUGGGAAAUAAGCUCAUUCUAUUAGCUUGUUUCUCAGCUAGCUUAUGUAGAAAUUUGCCACAGUUGUUACUGCUGGGCACCUGCCCUGGAUCUGAUCAUCAAUUAUAUCAUCUCUUCCAUCUGAUGGACUGCACCUCACCCCUUGCUUUUUCAGAGCUGGCGAAGCUGGGCCAAGGAAAGCGAUAGUGCCAGCUGAGUGGAAUGUGCAGGAAGGGACCGAGGAGGGGCACUAUGUACUGGAGAAAAGAGAUGGGGUCUCCAGGACAGGGGUGAGGACACUAGACUGAGGGCACAAAGGAAGGAAACCACAAGGAAGUAGAGUAGGGAAGUGGGGAGCAUGCUGAGGAGAGAGGUCAAGAGAUGGUGACCGCUUUCUGCAUGCCCCAAGGAGAUGGUGAUGACACUCCCAAGUCCAUGUGGGAAUCCCUCCUUAUGCGGGCCUCAGUCUGUCAUCUUCCUUGGAGCAGGACCAAAGUAAAUAAGAUAAAGUCACAAUUUCUCAUCCUUCUUCACUCAACUUUUCUUUGAGGAGAGAAUACAGCAGUUUCAAGGACAAGGGAUUCGUACCACUGCUCCUCACUCAGUAAAUAGCAGAGACAGAAUUUGAAUCUCUGCUGCUUUGCACAAGUCUCCUUUCCUAAGAUCCCACUUCUCAUCUGUUCAAUGGGGAUAUGAACAUCUACAAGUUUAUGGGCUGAUAUCACAAGUAGUAGAUAAAUUGAAAGAAAGGAAUCCCAAAAGAAGAAAAAGACUGUGUUCUGCUCCUCACUUAAAACUCAGUAAAAGGGACCCCCACCAAGUGGUCCAUGCCAAUAUGUAACACAGAAAGGAAAACCAACAGCAUGGGCCUCUUGGCUUGGAGGAAGCCAAAGUGCACAUUUCUUCAGUCAUACUACAUCUGGGUUCAUCUAGCCACCUCUGCCAUGCUGCCCAAGUUCAACCCCAAUGAGAUCAGUCAUAUACCUGCCAGGUGCCCUGGUGGAAAACUGGGUACCAUGUCUGCCCUAGCCCUUAAGAUCAACCCUCUGGACCUGUCUCCAAAAUAAGUUGGUGAUGACAUUCCCAAGGCCACAGGUCACCAGAAGAGUCAAAGGAUUACAAUGAAACUGACCAUUCAGAACAGACAGGCUCAGACUGAGGUGGUACUUUCUGCCUCUGCCGUGAGCAUCAAAGCCCUCAAGGAACCAGAGACAGAAAGAAGCAAAACAAUCAAGCACAGUGGAAAUGCCAUUUUUCAUGACACUGUCAAGAUUGCAUGACAGAUGCAGCACCAAUCCUUAGUCACGGAACUCUCUGGGACCCGUAAAGAGAUCUUGGAGACUGCCCAGUCUAUGAGCUCCAAUGUUGAUGGGCGCCAGCCUCCAGACAUCAUAGAUGACAUCAAAUCAACAGUGGUGCAAGUAAAUAUCCAGCUAGCUAUGAGCUACGAAGGAAAAAAUUUCAAUAAAGGAUCAUUUGACAACUAAAAAUAAAAACACAGCAUGGUUAUGACAUAGGGUCUGCAUGAGUGCCUUUGUGCCUCCUUGAAAAAGCCAGUUUCCCCAUGCACAGAUGUCAGUAGUACAAGUCAACCAGGUAUCCAGAGACAUUGCUAAAAAAUGUCAAUACCAAAUCUAAUCACAGCAUAAGGACCAGUGUAUACAAAUCUAAAGCCCACUUUCUCCUGCUCACUCCUAAAGCUCACUUUCUCACAACACUGCCACCCCAAUAUACCAAGAAACCAUCUAGAAAGGAGGGCAGACAAUAGCCACUUACCUUUAAAAACAAAACCAAACUCUUUACACCAAAACUUCUUCCAUAUCCAAAGAGUCUAAAAUACAGUUAGUGAUGAAUGUGGAUGUGGAGCCAAUGAGUAAGAUUUGAUCAGUUACAGAAAACAAGUGAAGCCACAUUUACUUUGCACAACCAAAUGUAGUUUGCUAAGUUUUUGACCCCAUUAUAUGAAGAAGACAAAUCAUCCAUAACUCUACCACGCUAAACAUCCAUUACUUUUUUUUUUUUUUUUUUGAGAGUUUCGCUUUGUGGUCCAGCCUGGGGCACAGUGGUGCAAUCUUGGCUCACUGCAACCUUCGCCUCCUGGGUUUAAGCAAUUCUCAUGUUCAGCCUCCUGAGUAGCUGGGAUUACAGCCACCCAUAGAUUUUUAAAAUACUUCUCUUUCACUUGUCUUGCAUAGGCAUGAUUAUUGCAAAUAACUGCAAUGCAUAUCAGUCACAGUUUUAUAUCAUGCUCUUUGUAAAAUUCAUCAAAAUUCCUUUUCCAUGCUGCUGUGUGUUCUUCCUGGUUACCAAUGUUAACAGACACAUAAGCUAUUAGUCAAAACUCUUGUCAUUGCAAGUAUCAUAAAGCCAAUUCCAACUCAACUGAAGAAAAUGGGUAUUUAAUGGAAGAACACUGGAGUUGCUCAUUGACCUACAAGAACCACGCAGCCCUGGGGGCCUAAAUGCAGGGGACAGGGGCUUGAAGUCACCAGAGUUCUUCACUGCUCAUUCUUCCUACAGACAUCUCCACAUAAAUGUAUUAGGCAUUUAGCCAUGUUAGGUCAUUUUCAUUAGCCACAUUUUCCAAAUGGGGAAGGAGGGACUAAGGGAGUUACAUGACUCACUGCAGGUGAUUCAGCUGCUAAAUGGCAUUGAUUUGAAAACCAGCAUCUUGAUUCAGAUUGGUGGAUCCAUACAAAUUGCAAGGGACAAAACUUUUCAAAAAUAUGUAAGAAGAGUCACAUAGGAUAAGAAUAUAUUUGAUUUUUGUGAGGACUACAGCUGAAGGAGAAGAGAAACAUGCAAAUGGGCUUCCAUUUCCCACACUAGGGCAGCUUCUGUCAUCUCAGAAUGCCCACCUGGCAUCUUCCUGACCCUUGGCUCGCCCACAAGGAAGUUCAUGGCAAUAUUGUUUUCAGAAGCCAAUAUUCUCCUGUCUCUACUUGCAAGAAAAUAACUGGGCCCCCCAGUAAGUAUAAUUGGUGCGAACAGUGAUUUAUUAUACGCCCAGUUCUGCAGAUGGCCUUUCAUAUGGAAAUGAUUUUUCCUGAAAACAGAAAAAUAUGGGUUUUUUCCCUUCUCAGCAGGUUAUAACAGGUUUACAAUCCACUGCAUCAAAACUAGCAUCAAAAACUUUAACGGAGUUCCCUUAAAACAGAAACACAAAAAACACGUUCCAUCUGGUAAAUAAUUGCCGGAGUUGCAUUCCUGUGCAUUCAGGCACAAGCUAACUGCUGUACAGCAUAAAGCUGUGAAAAUGUCUAGGCUUAAUGGGGAAACAUGAGAUAAGAUCUACUUAGGUCUAUCAUAUACUCAAAUUGCAACCUUCUGGGAUGCUGGUUCAUGCCAGACUCAAAUCACCCAUAAUCUGAUGAGCUAGACAGAUGUGUAAGAUUAUUCCAGGAUAUCUGAAAAUCUCACAUGUGAGUACAAAAGGCUAGGUGGACACGUGCAGCCCUUAUUCUAUGUGAAUGAAGGGGAAUGUUUACCAAGAAGGUCAUUUUCAGAUGACCAUAGUUGAAGAACAAAGUCAAAUGUGGUUCUAAGUGACAUGUCCUCUGCCUAAAUAACAGAUGAGAAAGUAUAUCUAAAAAGGCUUAUAUCAUCCUGUGAUGGAAUACUUAAGAAUGGGGAAAGCAUUUAGCAGUAAAAAGUAAGUUACCAAAAGGAUUUAAUGUAGUUAGUAUGUAGCAGGUUAAUUUCAGUAGAUGACUCUAAGUUAUGAUUUUCAUCCAGAAAGAAUUAUUUUAGUCAGCUUUCCACCAGUGGAACAUACUUCCUCCUAAGCUCCCUGCCUCUGAAAGCAUAGGCAGGGGAGCCAUGUAUUACAGAUGUUGUGGGGAAGAUCUACACAUUUGGAAAGCUGAAGAUCUGCAAAUUAGGGAUGACACUCAAAUUCCUUAAGGGGUUGGGCAGAUAAAUUGUGUAAAAUGGUAAGGCAUUAGAAAGUGGACCAAACUGCAGAGGACUGGAGAGGCACAGCCCACCUAAAGACAUUCAAAUUUGAUACAGAUGCUUCUUGGCUUACCAUGGGGCUACUGUGUCCCAAUAAACCCAUCUAAGUAAAAAAAUGCAUUUAGUACACCUAACCUAUCAAACAUCACAGCCUAGCCUAGCCUACCUUACACAUGCUCAGAACACUUACAUUAGCCUACAAUUGGGCUACAUCAUCUAACACAAUGCCUAUUUUAUAAUAAAGUGUAGAAUAUCUCAUGUAAUUUAUUGAAUACUGGACUGGAAGUGAAAAACAGAAUUAUUACACGGUACUUGAAGUAUAGUUUCUGCUGAAUGUGUAUGGCUUUCACGCUAUCAUAAAGUUGAGUAAUGAUAAGUCAAACCAUUGUUAAGUUGGAGACUAUCUGUAUUUAAAAACAAAACAAAACAAAACAAAACCCAAAAACAAAAAUAGACUGGUCUGGCCAAAUAGACCACUUUGGAAGGAUUUGGCCUAUGGAUCAAGAGGAUAUUUGCCGCUCCUGGACUAGCAAAUCCUUAAGCCUUCUUUGCCUGCUGAGUUCUGUGAUGUGUAUAAAAAUAAUGCACUUUUAUCUAAUAAGAGCCAAACACAUUAACCUCUGUGGUAGGAGAAAGUGGAGUUGAACAGAAGUAUUGAAUGUGGUCUCCAUCCUCAGAAAACUCAAAAAUACUUUAAAAUAAGAUACGUCCAUACAAAGACAGCCAACAGUGGCGGGCAAAAAGCUUAUGACGGCUCAUUAGGAAGCAUUUCUAACUUUGAUCUAGAUGGGUUCAGAAAGAGCCACAGAAUAGGCAAGGCUUGAGUGGGGCUUAAAAGAACAAAUAGGUCUGACAUAGUGGCUCACACCUCGAUCUCUACUCGGGAGCAUCAUUUGAGCCCAGGAGGUUGAGGCUGCAGUGAGCUAUGAUCACACCACUGCACUCCAGCCUGGGUGACAAAGCAAGACCCUGUCUCUAAAAAAAAAAAAAUAAAGGAUGAACAUUCAGCUAAAUGGAGAGUGUAUAGGAGGAUAGAGUUGUUAGGUAGUAAUAGGACAAACAAGAAGCCCAGGGGCGAGGAGGAGGGUCAUGCUUGGAUCCUUCUGAACCUCUCAACUUCUUCCUCAGAUCCUAAAAUUGGCUUCCUGUCACCUAUUCUGUUCUGAGCCUCCUCCUCAGCCUCUGGACCUCUCCCUUCUUAUGAACUAAAAGGUUUCUUAGGGUCACAGUUCCCACAGCUGGGCCCUACCACCUGCAGUCAGAGCCCUUAGCGCUCCCCUUGUAUUCGCCUGGUCCAUAUCCCAGCCUCACUGCCUGUUUGCAGACUUGUCAACACAGUCAUUGGGCUACCUCUUGGACAAUCACCCUUGAUGCUAAAUCACCCAAGCAAAUUAAUUGAAUUUUCAAGUGACGAGGGUAAUCCUAAGCACUUAAUGGUCAGAAGUGAGGGGGCACAAACUAUUUUUGGAUUCGAAUUUGUCUUUAUUAUGUGGUGUACACCUUUGUUGGGGUACUAAGUGCCAUCAGUAAAUAGCUAGCAGCAAUUGGUGGCUUACAACAUGCCAGAAUCUGUGCUGAGCCCAGUGCAUGCAUGCCCUCCCUUGCCAACUCAACCUCCAAAAUGGGGCACAAUAUUUUCCCCUCUCUCGAGAUGGGUAAACUGAGGCUCAGGGGUUAAAUAACACAUGCAAAGUCAUACAACUAACAGGGGCAUGGAUUCAAACCCAAGUCUUCUGUCUCCAAAAACUGACUACAAUCACAUGUGGUUGACGGUUAUCACUGCAUGUGAUUGUACCAUUCAUAUGGAUGUGUAAAUGCACACUCAAUGGCACAGAAUCACCUGCUGGCCUAUCAUCGGAUGUAAGCAGCUGCCAUCUCCCAAACAAUACACUCAUUUGAUGUAUGAAUUUGUAUCGCUGACUCUUCAGACACAGUAGUCCUCCCUUAUCCAAGGUCCAAAUAUAUGAAACAGAAAAUUCCAGAAAUAAACAAUUCAUAAAUUUCAAGUUGUCCGUGUUCUGAAUAGCAUGAUGAAAUCUUAGCCAUCCUGCUCUGCCUGCCGGGGUGUGAAUCAUCUUUUUGUCCAGCGUAUUCACACUAUAGAGGCUCCCUGCCUGUUAAUCACAUAGUAGAUCUGUUGGUUAUCAGGUCAACUGUCGCAGCAUCACAGUGCUUGCGUCCAAGUAACCCUUAUUUUACUUAAUAAUGGCCCAAAGAGUAAUGAGGUCAGAAUAUUGUUUUAUUAUAUUAUAAGUUGUUAUCCUUUAUUGUACCAAAUUUAUAAGUGAAACUUUAUCAUAGAUAUGUAUGUAUAGGAAAAAAAAAUAGUAUAUAGAGGGUUCAGUACAAUCCAUGGUUUUGGGCAUCCUCUGGGGUCUUGGAACAUACCCCCUGUGGAUUAGAGGGGAGUAUGAUAAUGCAGCAUUCUCACCACAUUUGAAUCAUCUGGGGGCACUAAUAAAAAAGCACUGAUGCCUUAGCUUCAAUCCCCAGAGAUUUAGAUUGAAUUGGUUUUGGUUUGAAUCAAACAUUGGAAUGCUAGAGGAGCUUCCCAGAUGAUCCUAAUGUGUAGAGAACAUAGGCAGUGAAUAGUGGCUAGGAGUGAGGGCUUGGGGUCUGAUUUCUGUUAUCAUAGGCCAGCUAUGACACACCUAUGAGUCUUAGUUUUCUCAUCUAUAAAAUGGGAACUACAGAACUGUGUACUUUAUAGCACUGAUGCAAGGGUUAAGUUAGAUGGAAACAAUGGAAUGCAAAAAUGGUAAGGUUCCUGGUGCCAUCCCUAAAAGCCUCAUUGAUCCAUAAUGAAAUGGAAGUUUAUAGUCUCUUAGGCAAACACCCAUUGGUUACAUGAGAAAAUGUAUUCUCCUGGCUUUCUACUCAGACUUUCUGACACCUCAGGGUAGAGGAGAGGGCUGGACAGGCACUCUUGACAACCUGCUAGCUCUUUCAGAGAUGUAAAUGCAAAGGCCUUUCAGAGCUAGACAGCUGACAUACAGAUGUGAAGUAACUGGGAUAAGCUAUCAGGGCUAUUUAAAAAAAGGGAGACAGAGCGAGCAGGUAUGAUUUGAAGAGAAGAUACCCCAUAAAAGGCCUUAAAGUUCAUUAAAAAUAAUAAUUACUACCAACAAAGUGCUAGCCAAACAAAUCCGUCUGUCCCCACAUGCAGCAGGUAGGGUGCCAGUUUGCACCAUGAGUAGUUCACACCUUCAGCUUUAGAGAUUCAGGUCAGUGGCUCCUCCCUGCUUCUGCACUUGUGAGCUGAGGGCAGCUACUUCCCCUUCCAUUGGAAGCCAGGGGGUUUCAAGGACGUGUCGGUGACUAUGAAGGGGCUUGCAGAUGACAGCCAGAUUUGUUAAAGGCAGACAAGCAGUUAUUUGUUUAAAAGUUCCCACCUUACAGAGGGCCCAUCUCUGUUUCAGGCUAGCUGUGUGGCCUUACCUAACUUCUCUGAACCAUUGCUCACAUGUAAAACAUGGAAAAAAUUAUCCACUUCUCAGGGAUGUUGUGAAGAUUAAAAGAACAAGAGAUGUAGAGUGCUCAGCACAGUGCCUCUGCUCUGGGAAGCACUCCAGAUGUGUCUGCUUUUGUUGUGAUUUUGCCAUUCUUCAACAAAGUUAAAAGAGCCUCAAGCACUGUAAGCAUUGUUUCUCCCCUUGCCCUGGAAAAUUAUUUAAAUGACAUGGUUCAUUCUAAUACAUUAUCUCAUCCCUCCUUUGAAGCCACAGUCAAAAGCACUGACAAACAAGUUUGAGAGAGAUAAGGAGAGGCGAGAUAAAAGAUAUAAAGUGACCAAAAAAAAAAAAAGGUAGAUAAUUUGUUCCUUGUCUGUUCUCAAGGAUCACAGGUCUGGUGGCUUGCUGAAUGGGGUACGGAGAGGUAACACAGUACACCUCCCACAUCUGUGGCCUGCAAUGGCCCCAGUGAGCACUGGGCAGCACCCAGGCAGAGAGAAGGGCUUUCUGGAUUUCUCUGGGGAUAGUUACUCUCAGUGUUUCCAAGAAUAAGAAUCCAGCAUGGGAUUCAUCCCACCUUCAUUGCAUUUUGCUUUGCUUUGACAUCUGCCAUGGAGAAUGCAAAA